Molecule: ribosomal RNA, 253 nt
Filed under: uncultured bacterium
Lineage: Bacteria
Description: partial 16S ribosomal RNA
Rfam family: Bacterial small subunit ribosomal RNA
Source: RNAcentral
UACAGAGGUCCCAAGCGUUGUUCGGAUUCACUGGGCGUAAAGGGUGCGUAGGCGGUCGGGUAAGUCUGACGUGAAAUCUGCAAGCUCAACUUGGAAAUGGCGUCGGAUACUAUUCGGCUCGAGGAAUGGAGGGGAGACUGGAAUUCUCGGUGUAGCAGUGAAAUGCGUAGAUAUCGAGAGGAACACCAGUGGCGAAGGCGGCUCACUGGCCCGAUACUGACGCUGAGGCACGAAAGCGUGGGGAGCAAACAGG